This is an RNA transcript of Triticum dicoccoides, 4898 nucleotides long. It is a transcript of the gene named probable NOT transcription complex subunit VIP2, with no coding region annotated. The record is from RefSeq and is a predicted model, not a curated record. NCBI's taxonomy places the organism in Eukaryota, Viridiplantae, Streptophyta, Magnoliopsida, Poales, Poaceae. The transcript is spliced from 9 exons.
UCCCUAACCCGCUCUCGUCUCCCUUCCUAGGACGCAGCCGCCCACCAAAUCAAAUCCCGUCGCCGGGCUCGUCUGCCUCGCCGUGGCCGAUGAAUGCGUCGGCUGCGGCCACGCCCCCUCUCCAAACGGCGGCGAUGAUGGAGGGAGCAGCUCACGCUGGCCAGGCUCCCGACCGAACGCGUCGGGUCAUCUCUCCUCGGGGCCAACCCCUCCUAUUCAUCGCAUCUCUCCCUGACUCCGUCUCCUCCACGAGAUGUAGCACCACCCCACGCCAUGGACGCCCUUGCCGGCUGCAUCUCUCCAUGCGCCGCCACUCCUAUGACACCGCCGCCCGGCAGUCUCCACCAGCACCACGACGGGCGUGGCCUCUGCACGCGCCGUCACCUCCCCUCCAGAUCCGGCCGUCGUCGAGGGCAUAUCCAUCCAGCAGUGCGCCGUCACCUCCCCUCCAGAUCCAGCCGUCGUCAAGGGCUUAUCCAUCCAGCAGCGUGUCGUCAUCCCAAUCAUCACCAUCCACGGUGUCAUCGCCCAGGCCCAGUCAGGGGCCGGCAAGACCUCCAUGAUCUCCCUCUUCGUCUGCCAGGUCAUUGAGACCAACGUCCACGAGUGAUUUCCGCAUAGCUUUUGUGUAUGACGGCUGGAGGACCAACUCAGACCUCGCUUGCCCCAGGGUCAGGAGGUCCAAGGCGCCACAACCAACUACCCCUGCAUCCAUAUGCUGGCAAUUUACUUUGAUUGUUAGUCGUUGACCAUGAGCAAGAAUCUGUCAAUUAAUUUGAUGCUUCAGUUAACUUUUCAGUGUGGUAAUCUACAGCAAUCAAGUUAACAAAUCUGAAGCAUUUUAGCAAGGCAACGGUGCAAGUGCUCUUUUGGUGGAAGAUGAAGCUUUUGUUGGGCUUGUGAUGUUUUUCUGAAGAAGACUGACGAUGAACUCAAAAGACAGAUAACAUGCGGUUGCUACUACGGGAAUACCUGAUGUUGCUUCAUAUUAGUUAUAUCUUCCAAUAUUUACAGAAACUUCCGAAACUGGCACCAGGUCAGGACAUGCUGAUGAUAACCUUCCAGUUUUGCUAAAUCAUAGUUACUUGAGUAAUCUCUACUCCUAAAGUGUUCUUCGAAGGUGCUCAUCAAAUCUGUUGAUACACAACACCACAGUUAUUGAUGGUUUACACUGGAUAGUUUCCAGACCUUUAUCGCAAGAUGGACGAACUUGGCAUCUCAGCCAGUACUCUGCCUCAUCAACAGUUUGAUGUCCCUUUGCAUGAAGUUAGGCCAGCAUCAGAAUAUCCGUAGCCUUUUUUAGGAGAUGAAGGUGAAGAAUAUUAAGCCGGAUAACCUCACAUGUUUCCUUCUAAUGAGCAGCCGUGCGUCAUUGAACAAGAUAGAUGUUGUUGGAGAAGUUUUAGAAGAAAUGCAAGAAAAUGGUGUAGUUCUAGGGUGGUAUGCAUAUAGCAUGGUUUCUAUCUACCUGAGUGCUAGUUUGGUUUUAAAAAACAAUCCGCUCUCAAGAAAUCGAGGGCCUUGAUUUUAGAAGGUAACAUAAAUAUCUAGAUUGAUCGUUCAUGGUCCUGGGGCUCCUUGUUACAGUUCAAGCAAGAGUUUAGUCCAUAAUACUCAAUUUCAUCCUGAAGUGCAUGCCCCCUGACCCGUGGGACGACGGCACGGAGGCAAUCGCAUAACCCAGCGGCAGGGCGUGGCGGCGUUGUGGCCAGUGAGGAGCGCCGUUAGGGCGUGCCCUGAAUCGAGAGGAACAAGUAUGUUCACUUUCUGUUUGCUUUGUGUUUGCUUUCUGUAGUCUCAAAGCAGAGCAAUGGUUCACUGCAAAUUUUAUCAGAAUGUGCAACAAAAGCACGUUGAGAAGUUCCUGUGAGCCCUAAUUAUUUCUUGAGAAAGCAAACUUAUUGAUCCUUGCUCUAUUUUUUGUGUACUAAGAUUGUUCGUUUGUACCCAGGAUGUGUACGUGAUGUGCCCUGCCGCUGUGUGUGCUUCCUGCUAAUGUGUGUGCUUCCUGACGCAGUUGAGCAUGCGCGUGUGUGUUCGCUGUCGCUGUUUAUUAACAUUGUCAUGCUCUCCUUACUUUUUGCUUAACAAUUCAUGAUCAAUACUGAACAUUAUUUUUUGAAUAGAUGCCACUUGAACUUAGUUUUAGCUCUCAUGUUGUUCAAUGAAUCAUCAAGUAAUGUUUUGCAUGGAUUUUAUAACUGACACAAUGUUUCUGAUUUAAUGAGAGCCAACCAUGCGUUCCUGGCUUCCCCGGCGAUGCCAACAUGGCAGGGCAGGACCCAGUGGCCAUCUUCGGCGCCUUCAUGGACUUCGUCAGCGCUGACCUCUGCUUCAUCAUCUACGGCCAUGACCCCUUUGCCGUCGGCAUCAUCUGGCACCUUGGAGUGCAAAUUAAAUGUGUUCAUGGAGUGGGGUGUAAUUGUGAUUUGUGCAAUGGGUUUAGAGUGGAAGGGGCUGUCAUUCUUGUUUAGCAGGGGCUGCAAGUUCUAUCUCUAUAAGCCUGACUUGCAGCGGCAACAACAGAUUCAGAUGUGGUAAGCUCAUUCAUUCAUUCUCUCAGGAGAAGAGGACCAAAUUGAUUCAAAUUUUGUGUUCUGAUCUUAAUGUUGCGAGGUUUGCGAUCACAUGUAUGGUCGGGACUGCGUGGGUCCGGCGACCAAUUGCUUGCAUCUCUUGCUGUAUGGUGAUGAUGACCGGCUCUUGUUAAAUCCAAUACGACUGCACUUCUUCGCUUCAGGAAGAAGGUAUCCCCCCUAUACGAAGAUUUCUAGCUUGCCUAUGUGUUGAUAAGUGCAUUCGGCCAAACAAUUUGUGGACCAAAUAAACUUGUUGCAGAUACAGAAGAACAAGGCUGCACACAAGGAGUUGCCUGAAUUGCAGUGGCAGCGGUGUUGCAAUAUGAAUCAAGCUUGUGAAGAAAAAUUUCGUUACUUUAAUGACACACACUUGCAGUAAGUCAUUCAGAGAUAUAUUCAGUACAUGCUAGGUUGCCAAGCUCAGAGCCACCUGUUGUCUCCAUAAAUUCGCUGAAAGCAAAAAUCAUUUGCCCAUAGUCAUGUGAAACCUUCUAGAAUUCUUUUUAGUAUUUUGCAUUGCUUGUGCAUUUCUUUUUUUUAUCACUUCUAAUAACCUCAUUGAUUCAUUUUUCCUAUCGUCAUGUCAGUCCUUGCUCUAAAUUUUUUUUUAAUAUGUUGCACUUCUUGUGCAUUUCCAUUUUUAUCACUUCUAAUAAUCUCAUUGACUGUUUACAUCUCACCAUGUUUACCAAGAACACGAGUGAUAAUUUUGUUUUAUAAUAAUACAAUAGUGACAAUUUUAUUUUAUUUUAUUUUCUGACAUAGUUCUCAAUUAGGCUUACAAAUAUUUUACAUUGGCAGUAGUUCUGCCAUCAAGCUUAUGUGUAAUGUAUUCCUUAGAAUGGUGUUUCAGCCAUUUCUAUGUAGGUGGCAUGUGUGAUGGCACGUAUUUCAGCCAUAUCGACUUAGGUGGCAUGUGUGCUGGCGCAAGAAAAGGAAGGCCCUGAACUGAAAGGAGCAACAUAUAUUAAUGAAAUGCCCUGAAUUGAGAGAGAGAGAGAGAGAGUUCAAUUUAAUUUGUCUGGUUUAAAUAUUUAUGAGUAAUUUAAUUUGUUUGACCUUGAGUGUUGACUUGCUUUUCAGUUGUCAACAAUGUCCGUUUUGCUGAAUGUACUUGCUUAUCCUUCUACUGGACUACCAUUGGUUCACUGUGUACAUACACUUUCCAAUUCUGUCUGUUUACUAUCUUUUGUUAUUAUUUGUCUUGAUAACUUGAUGCUUUCUUCCUUGGUUGUUUAAUCUUAACAGUUCCACAUCCCACAUCGAACCUUCCAAACUCAUCCAAGUGACCAUUUGCAACAUCCUUUUCCGGACAAUCUGGAUUAGUUCAAGGUUUUCAUCACUCUGGUCUGCACAACAUUCAUGGAAAUUAUAGUCUUCCAAAAUAUUCCUGGAUCACUUGCAAAAAGGAAUGUUGUGAAGAGUAGCGUUCCAUCAUCUGGGGUCCAACAACCCAGAGGGAGCAUUUCUGGGAGAUUUGCUGCAAACAGCCUUCCUGUUGUCAUUCUCUGGUUCGAAUGCCCACCUUUGUGGAGAUUCCUCAUGCACAUUUAGCUGUUAGUGAUAGAGUAAUGAAUGUUGGUGGAGGUCAAGCAUUUAGAAGUGGAAUGAAUAUGGGUGGUACCAUUCAAGGUUUAUCCUCAAACUUGGGCACCAGUGGUAAUCGAAAUUAUGUUCCUGGAAACCCAGCUUUGGGUCCACGUAUUACAAACAUUGUGCGCAGAAGUAACAUUGGAAUAAAUAUAAGCUCUGGUGGGUUGUCGGUGCCGAUUAUCUCAUCACACAUCGAUUUUAGGGUCAAUGCUGCAAGUGGAAGACUAAAUGUGCAAGGAUCCAACAGGAUGAUGAAUGGCCUUAUUUUGCAAGGUAUGCCUGAUGGAGCGAUUGGGUUGAUGCUGAUGCUGAUAUACUUCCCUAAGUUGCUCCAAUCGGGAAUGCAGAUAUACUUCCGUGAGUUGCUCCCCAAAACCAAUCCCUUGCUCUUCUUUGCACCAAUGGUACAAGAGAUGCGAGCCAUCCUUUUUACUGGAUGUUCUCUUGAUCGUUUCUUCCUAUGGAUUUUGUGGUUGCCAGAUGUUUUCUCGUUGUGGAUUGGUAAAAAGACUAACUCUUAAUCAGGGCGCACGAUUUUGAUGAAGGUUGUAAAACAUUUUCAUUAGGCAUCAAUUUUCUUGCUGGUGCUUGUCUGGCUGUAAAAUCUGCUCAAUAUGUAUAUUUUCCUUUCGUCGUUUUCCGAUAUAUUACUGAACCUUUUGGAAUAUCUCUGUAUAUAAAAAAAUGUGUUCUGUCUGCCGAUUGAAAUGGACCUAAAUAUGAAUA